Molecule: ribosomal RNA, 686 nt
Filed under: uncultured bacterium
Lineage: Bacteria
Description: bacterial SSU rRNA
Rfam family: Archaeal small subunit ribosomal RNA
Source: RNAcentral
GUGCCAGCCGCCGCGGUAAUACCGGUGGCUCGAGUGGUGGCCGCUAUUAUUGGGUCUAAAGGGUCCGUAGCGGCCUGAUAAAGUACCUGGGAAAUCCGGUGGCCUAACCAUCGGCGGCCAGUAAUACUAUCAGGCUCGGGACUAGGAGAGACCAGAGGUACUCAUGAGGGUAGAGUGAAAUCCUGUAAUCUUAUGAGGACCACCAGUGGUGAAGACGUCUGGUUAGAAUAGGUCCGACGGUGAGGGACGAAGGCUGGGGGCGCAAACCGGAUUAGAUACCCGGGUAGUCCCAGCAGUAAACGAUGCCAGCUAUGUGUUGCUGGAACCAUGGGUUCCAGCAGUGCCGAAGGGAAGCCGUGAAGCUGGCCACCUGGGAAGUACGGUCGCAAGGCUGAAACUUAAAGGAAUUGGCGGGGGAGUACCACAACCGGUGGAGCCUGCGGUUUAAUUGGAUACAACGCCGGGAAUCUUACCGGAGGGGACAGCAGUAUGAAGGCCAGGCUAAAGACCUUGCCAGAUCAGCUGAGAGGAGGUGCAUGGCCGUCGCCAGUUCGUACCGUGAGGCAUCCUGUUUAGUCAGGCAACGAUCGAGACCCGCAGUCUUAUUUGCCAGCAUGCCCUUUGGGGUGUAUGGGUACAAUAAGACGACCGCCAGCGCUAAGCUGGAGGAAGGAGCGGGCUACGGU